Molecule: ribosomal RNA, 253 nt
Filed under: uncultured bacterium
Lineage: Bacteria
Description: partial 16S ribosomal RNA
Rfam family: Bacterial small subunit ribosomal RNA
Source: RNAcentral
UACAGGGGGGGCAAGCGUUGUUCGGAAUUACUGGGCGUAAAGGGUUCGUAGGUGGCUUACUAAGUCAGACGUGAAAUCCCUCAGCUUAACUGGGGAACUGCGUCUGAUACUGGAAAGCUUGAGUGCAGGAGAGGAACGCGGAAUUCCAGGUGUAGCGGUGAAAUGCGUAGAUAUCUGGAGGAACACCGGUGGCGAAGGCGGCGUUCUGGACUGUAACUGACACUGAAGAACGAAGGCCAGGGGAGCAAACGGG